RNAcentral lists this ribosomal RNA (496 nucleotides) under uncultured bacterium. RNAcentral describes it as "partial 16S ribosomal RNA". It matches the Rfam family "Bacterial small subunit ribosomal RNA", at positions 28 to 507 of the family's 1533-position model. The record is from RNAcentral.
GAUGAACGCUGGCGGCGUGCCUAAUACAUGCAAGUCGAGCGAACAGACGAGGAGCUUGCUCCUCUGACGUUAGCGGCGGACGGGUGAGUAACACGUGGAUAACCUACCUAUAAGACUGGGAUAACUUCGGGAAACCGGAGCUAAUACCGGAUAAUAUAUUGAACCGCAUGGUUCAAUAGUGAAAGACGGUUUUGCUGUCACUUAUAGAUGGAUCCGCGCCGCAUUAGCUAGUUGGUAAGGUAACGGUUACCAAGGCAACGAUGCGUAGCCGACCUGAGAGGGUGAUCGGCCACCCUGGAACUGAGACACGGUCCAGACUCCUACGGGAGGCAGCAGUAGGGAAUCUUCCGCAAUGGGCGAAAGCCUGACGGAGCAACGCCGCGUGAGUGAUGAAGGUCUUCGGAUCGUAAAACUCUGUUAUUAGGGAAGAACAAAUGUGUAAGUAACUAUGCACGUCUUGACGGUACCUAAUCAGAAAGCCACGGCUAACUACGUG